GACGCCCGUCCUUUCCUAGAGCCCCCUUUCGUGCAGCACACUCUGGUGCUCCCGGGGGACGUCUCAGGCCCACUCCAGGAUGUCAGGGGCCACCUCAGACAGAAAAGGUCCCUGUCAUCCCCCAGCUCGGUCUCCUGCAGGUCUGGGAAAGCCCAGGCCGCCUCACAGGGACCCUGCACCCCCACCAAAGCUCCCCCAGCCCAGGGCUGCUCUGGGGGCGAAGGGAUGCCUCUGCCUCCAACCUCAGUGGUUCCUCUUCCUCCCCCGGACUGCCAGGGUUGGGGGGCCCCCUUGACUGGUGCUCCCCAGGCUGACCGGGAUCGAUGCAUGGUCCAUGCAGCAGCUUCUGGACACCCCGUGGGGACACCCGCUGUCUAGAGCCAUGCUGAGCAGACUUCUCCUCGUAUGGACACCGGCGCCCCCGCCCUCCACUCGUCCCCGGCAUCUGCAGCGCAGGUCUGUGCUGGCCCCGUGUGGGGUGCUGGGACCCAGGGAUGAAGGCCUGGACCCUGCCCACCUGGAGCCACAUGAAGGCCCCACAUCAAGGAGCGGGACAGGGGCUUGAAGGUCACCUCCAGGGAGGAGGCAUGUGGCCUCUGACCCCCUUCUGCAGGAAGAGUUAACCAGUGGAAGAGAGGGGGCAGGAGAGGGGACAGAACGGCUUCCAGGAAGAGGCAGGACCUGGAAAAUGGGCCAAGAGGAGGUGUGAGGCUUCCAGGUCCAGAAUGGCUGCGGCAGGGGCACCCUCCAUCCCCAACCCUUUGCAGUCUGUCCCCAACCCAAUAUAGUUUGUCUCCCACAACACUGCACAAUCUCUCCCGCAACCCUACACAGUC
This 836-nucleotide long non-coding RNA is filed under the name Homo sapiens (human). RNAcentral's name for it is "HSALNT0117788". The record is from RNAcentral. Lineage: Eukaryota; Metazoa; Chordata; Mammalia; Primates; Hominidae.